RNAcentral lists this ribosomal RNA (253 nucleotides) under uncultured bacterium. RNAcentral's name for it is "partial 16S ribosomal RNA". It matches the Rfam family "Bacterial small subunit ribosomal RNA", at positions 524 to 776 of the family's 1533-position model. The record is from RNAcentral.
UACGUAGGGCGCAAGCGUUGUCCGGAAUUAUUGGGCGUAAAGAGCUCGUAGGCGGCUUGUCACGUCGGGUGUGAAAGCCCGGGGCUUAACCCCGGGUCUGCAUUCGAUACGGGCAGGCUAGAGUGUGGUAGGGGAGAUCGGAAUUCCUGGUGUAGCGGUGAAAUGCGCAGAUAUCAGGAGGAACACCAAUGGCGAAGGCAGCUCGCUGGGACGGUACUGACGCUGAGACGCGAAAGCGUGGGGAGCGAACAGG